AUCAACUUUCGAUGGUAGGAUAGAGGCCUACCAUGGUGGUAACGGGUAACGGGGUGUUAGGGCACGACACCGGAGAGGGAGCCUGAGAAACGGCUACCACAUCCAAGGAUGGCAGCAGGCGCGCAAAUUACCCAAUCCCGACACGGGGAGGUAGUGACAAUAAAUAACAACACGGGGUUCUUUCGGAUUUCGUAAUUGGAAUGAGUACAAUUUAAAUCUCUUAACGAGGAACAAUUGGAGGGCAAGUCUGGUGCCAGCAGCCGCGGUAAUUCCAGCUCCAAUAGCGUAUAUUAAAGUUGCUGCAGUUAAAAAGCUCGUAGUUGAAUUUCGGGACCAAUAUGUCGGUCGUGCCUCGGUACGUACUGGCAUCGUUGGUUUCUCCCUUCUGACGAACCAUGAUGUCAUUCAUUUGGUGUCGUGGGGAAUCAGGACUGUUACUUUGAAAAAAUUAGAGUGUUUAAAGCAGGCUCACGCUUGAAUACAUUAGCAUGGAAUAAUGAAAUAGGACGUUUGAUUCUAUUUUGUUGGUUUCUAGGAUCGACGUAAUGAUUAAUAGGGAUAGUUGGGGGCAUUAGUAUUCAAUUGUCAGAGGUGAAAUUCUUGGAUUUAUUGAAGACUAACUACUGCGAAAGCAUUUGCCAAGGAUGUUUUCAUUAAUCAAGAACGAAAGUUAGGGGAUCGAAGACGAUCAGAUACCGUCGUAGUCUUAACCAUAAACUAUGCCGACUAGGGAUCGGAUGAUGUUAAUUUUUUAAUGACUCAUUCGGCGCCUUACGGGAAACCAAAGUGUUUGGGUUC
This 798-nucleotide ribosomal RNA is filed under the name uncultured Glomus. RNAcentral's name for it is "SSU rRNA". It matches the Rfam family "Eukaryotic small subunit ribosomal RNA", at positions 314 to 1114 of the family's 1831-position model. Lineage: Eukaryota; Fungi; Glomeromycota; Glomeromycetes; Glomerales; Glomeraceae. The record is from RNAcentral.